RNAcentral lists this transfer RNA (74 nucleotides) under Aeromicrobium panaciterrae. RNAcentral describes it as "tRNA-Leu". It matches the Rfam family "tRNA". Rfam says of the family: Transfer RNA (tRNA) molecules are approximately 80 nucleotides in length. Their secondary structure includes four short double-helical elements and three loops (D, anti-codon, and T loops). Lineage: Bacteria; Bacillati; Actinomycetota; Actinomycetes; Propionibacteriales; Nocardioidaceae. The record is from RNAcentral.
GCUCGCCUAGCCCAACUGGCAGAGGCGCCGGUCUCAGAAACCGGAGGAUCGGGGUUCGAAUCCCCGGGCGAGUA